This 460-nucleotide ribosomal RNA is filed under the name uncultured bacterium. Its description in RNAcentral is "partial 16S ribosomal RNA". It matches the Rfam family "Bacterial small subunit ribosomal RNA", at positions 338 to 795 of the family's 1533-position model. The record is from RNAcentral.
CCUACGGGUGGCAGCAGUGAGGAAUAUUGGUCAAUGGCCGUAAGGCUGAACCAGCCAAGUCGCGUGAAGGAAGCAGGAUCUAUGGUUUGUAAACUUCUUUUAUAGGGGAAUAAAGGUAUCCACGUGUUGAUAUUUGCAUGUACCCUAUGAAUAAGCAUCGGCUAACUCCGUGCCAGCAGCCGCGGGAAUACGGAGGAUGCGAGCGUUAUCCGGAGUUAUUGGGUUUAAAGGGUGCGGAGGUUGGUAUUUAAGUCCGCGGUGAAAGUUUGUGGCUCAACCAUAAAAUUGCAGUUGAAACUGGAAGACUUGAGUGAGUGAGGGGUAGGCGGAAUGCGUGGUGUAGCGGUGAAAUGCAUAGAUAUCACGCAGAACUCCGAUUGCGAAGGCAGCUUACUAGGGCAUAACUGACACUGAAGCACGAAAGUGUGGGGAUCAAACAGGAUUAGAUACCCCUGUAGUC